Molecule: ribosomal RNA, 417 nt
Filed under: uncultured bacterium
Lineage: Bacteria
Description: bacterial SSU rRNA
Rfam family: Bacterial small subunit ribosomal RNA
Source: RNAcentral
GCAAAACGCGAAGAACCUUACCAACCCUUGACAUGGAGGGGACCGUUCCAAAGAUGGUUCUUUCACUUCGGUGACCCCUCACACAGGUGCUGCAUGGCUGUCGUCAGCUCGUGUCGUGAGAUGUUCGGUUAAGUCCGGCAACGAGCGCAACCCACACUUUCAGUUGCCAGCAUUCAGUUGGGCACUCUGAAAGAACUGCCGGUGAUAAGCCGGAGGAAGGUGUGGAUGACGUCAAGUCCUCAUGGCCCUUACGGGUUGGGCUACACACGUGCUACAAUGGCAGUGACAAUGGGCUAAUCCCAAAAAGCUGUCUCAGUUCGGAUUGGGGUCUGCAACUCGACCCCAUGAAGUCGGAAUCGCUAGUAAUCGCGUAACAGCAUGAUGCGGUGAAUACGUUCCCGGGUCUUGUACACACCG